Molecule: non-coding RNA, 2657 nt
Organism: Paramormyrops kingsleyae
Lineage: Eukaryota; Metazoa; Chordata; Actinopteri; Osteoglossiformes; Mormyridae
Source: RefSeq, a predicted model, not a curated record
CAAUUUAUAUUAGGUUGGAGUUCACGGUUCGACUUCUGAUAUUCAGAUCGAGUUCUAGGUCAAAGUGGUUUGAUCGACUUUCAAGAAAUUUGAGUUCUAGUGAGUUCGAGAUCUGAGGUCUGUACAUUGUUCCAUUUACUGCAUAUUGUACUUAAUUCAUGUCUCUCAUUUCACCUGCAUCAACAUUGUAAAGUUCUUCACAAAGAGAUUUAUAUAUUUAUAAAUACUUCUAUUCUCUAUUCUUUUCUCUACUGCUUUUUUAGUUAGCCUUUGUUAAAUUGUAUGUAUUGUAUGUCAAUACAUACUUUACAAGAUACUUGUGACAUACGUAUCUUUUUGUAUAGACUUUUUUUCCCCAAAUCUUCAUUUGGUUCUUUCAUGUUAUGCUGCUAAAUCGUUAUCACAAAGCACAAUGGUUUUAAACAGUAAUUGUUACCAGUGUAAAAUUGAGAAAUCACUAUUACAUGCUAAGUGUAAUGUAUAAAAAAAAAAUUUCAUACAUUUUUUUUUUCUUCAAGAAGCUAUUUUGAUGGAAAUGGUGGUCCUGAAAUUCUUCAGAGAGGCCAAGGCUGCGGCAUGCAUAAGGAGACAGAAAGCUUUCCAGAUGACACAUGUUCCACUUUGUGUGAGGGUAGAUUUUGGUGGAUCCUCCACACAGAUAUGUUUCUCUGUAUUCUGCCAAGACGACGGAAACUGUAUUUCAGUUUCAGUCGUCUUGGCAGAAUAUUUGUGACUUACAAUGCUCAGAGGAAUACCUGGCAUUGUGCUUGUGCAAAGCCACGAAUAUCAUGCCUUCAUAAAAGCAUUGCUAAAUGGCAUCUCUUUCAGACAGAGAGAGACCUCUUCCAGUCAAAUGUGCCACUAUCAUCAGGCCCCCCAUCACUGAUGACUCAGGAGGGAGUGGAAGGGAGUAUGCGCUAUAUAUUUAAAGAGAAAAAAAAUCCUCAAUCUCUUCCAGAAGAUGUCAUGUCCCAAAAAAUGGAACAUGAGAAACAGCUCAUUCCUUUUGAAACUCUGUGCCAGGUGUGCCCAGACCACCCUAAACUUGACCAGGAUGUCUGACAAUCAGGCUGUCUCUGGACACCUGGCCAUUUCCAGUUGUGUGUAAGUCUUAUUUUUUUGCCACAUACUAACUUUUAGAAUUUUGCUGUGUGUCUGUGAUCUAUUCAAAUUUUGAUGACACAUUUUCAAAAAUCUUUCUUUACUGUAUUGUGUAUGAUCACUUGCAAUGACAUUGUUUGCAAGUUUUAAGUCCUGAGCAACCGUCUUUUAGGUACUGAAGCCACGUAAAAGAGAAAUCCUCUUUCUUGACCCAUUAUACACAAAGGCAGGAUUUGGUGACCAACAAUAUGUUUCACUUUUGAGGUCACUUUUUUAUAAGCAUGUUUGGUUUGUUCCAGAGUUUUCAGGAACCUGUUUAGUGUUCCAGGUUAAGUGCAUCCCAGAUCAUGUUCUAUUGAUCUAGAGUGUUCACACAUACAGUACAUUCACAUGCUUGCUUAUAAACUAUAUCAGCAGGAUGCAUCACCUCUUGAUUCUUUUUCUCAUCUUCACAUUCUGUUCAAAUCAAUGAUGCUGUCUUUAGAUGAGUUUCACACAUUAAUAGGCUUUUCAAAAUCUUCUAGUGUUUAACAUAAAACACCAUUAAAAAUCAGUUUAUAAAUUAUGCCAACCUGAAAAUAAAACUGAAAUUGCUGUGUAUGACACACUUUAACCAACUGCGAGCAUUUGACUGUACUUUUACAUUUUGUUAAUUGUGUCCAGGACGUGUUCCUAAGUCCGUGUUCCUAAGGCCUGUACUUAAAGUUGGUGCUAUUAGCAAUUAACAUUUCACACCCAUCAUGAUGAUGUCUGUUAACUCGUGAAUGUAAUUGUCUUGGAAAAAGGAAUCUUGCAGUGAAGAUCAUUCCAGGGCAGUGGUCAGAAAAAAAUAGCUUUGACUUGAAGGGUUUUCCGAGCCAAGACUUUGGAAUUGACUGUGGGAUCUUCAUGCUAAUGUCUGCUCUCUACGUGGCACUGGAUGCACCAUUUGAUUAUACUAUAUCAGACAUGCCCUAUUUGCGGAAAUAGUGGUGCUUGCUGUUGAUGGAGAACUUUGAUCUCAGGAGCUAUGGCAAACUUUUUGCACACUGGAGAGAGGACGCCAAAGCUGUGCUUCAAGGACAACAUGUGCCCAUUUUCAGACUUAAAAAGCGUAAGUUACCAGAAGUCAGUCAGAAGCCAGCAGUUGUUCAAGAUCUGCAUACUGCUCUGCAGUGGGUUGUCCAAAAUAAGGGGCUUUUCCAUGGACACGUAACCACGCCAAAAUAUCUGUCCUUAAAUAAAGAGGACCAGCAGAGGGUCUUAAGAGAGAUGCUGGAAGAAGACACUGAAGCAAGGGACUUCUUCAUCUUUGUUUUUCAGUGUGCGGAGGACAUGGAGCACUUUCUAAAGGCAUGUGUUGACGAGCAGGGACUAAGGGUCAAUGCUGUUUGAAAUAUAAUGGAUGGAGGAAGUCACUGGCUGUUUGUUUUUUAAUGUGUUGUUUUUUUCAAUGUAAAUACAAAAUUACAAUUAAACUUACCGUAUUUCAAAAUUUUGUUCACUUGUUUCCAUGUUCAUAAUUAUACUACUAGAAGUUAAAAUAAAAGAUUACAGUGUAAAUGUAACAGCAUUGU